This 497-nucleotide ribosomal RNA is filed under the name uncultured bacterium. Its description in RNAcentral is "partial 16S ribosomal RNA". It matches the Rfam family "Bacterial small subunit ribosomal RNA", at positions 28 to 507 of the family's 1533-position model. The record is from RNAcentral.
GAUGAACGCUGGCGGCGUGCCUAAUACAUGCAAGUCGAGCGAACGGACGAGAAGCUUGCUUCUCUGAUGUUAGCGGCGGACGGGUGAGUAACACGUGGAUAACCUACCUAUAAGACUGGGAUAACUUCGGGAAACCGGAGCUAAUACCGGAUAAUAUUUUGAACCGCAUGGUUCAAAAGUAAAAGACGGUCUUGCUGUCACUUAUAGAUGGAUCCGCGCUGCAUUAGCUAGUUGGUAAGGUAACGGCUUACCAAGGCAACGAUGCAUAGCCGACCUGAGAGGGUGAUCGGCCACACUGGAACUGAGACACGGUCCGGACUCCUACGGGAGGCAGCAGUAGGGAAUCUUCCGCAAUGGGCGAAAGCCUGACGGAGCAACGCCGCGUGAGUGAUGAAGGUCUUCGGAUCGUAAAACUCUGUUAUUAGGGAAGAACAUAUGUGUAAGUAACUGUGCACAUCUUGACGGUACCUAAUCAGAAAGCCACGGCUAACUACGUG